AGCUGGUUUUUUUUUCUUAAAGUUCUAUCUGUUGGUUCUGUAAGUAAACAUGUGUUUCUUUUGCUGUAAUGAUAUAAUUAUUUUUAUCUGCUUUAUUUUUAAGGAAAUGAGUUUUUAGCCACAUAAUGAUAAUAGUGAUACACAAUGCCUGAUCAGGACAAAAAGUUGAGGAGCACAGAAAAAGCAACAGACAGAAAACCUCAUGGGAUCUCUAUGAGGGAUUACUCUGACCUGAAAAGACUUCAGUCUCUCUUGAAUGUUCAGUCAAGGAACGAACAGCUUCCAGCUAUAUAUUUUGGAAGUGUUCAUACCAGUGUGACAAGAGAUUGUCAAAAAGUGAAAAGCAAUGGACAAAACCCCAGUGGUCAAUGGUAAGAAUCAACAGUGUGACCUACAAGAAUGAGAAAAAUUUGAGCAAACAUCCCAAACAUAGGCUAUUUCAAGAUAUCUUUAUGGCUUUAGUCAAGAACAGACUUACCCACAGGUCAGUAUAUCGAACACAUUCAUAUCCAAGAAGGAGGUCCACUCCUGCUUCCCUUAAGGGAAGAAUGAAGAUGCAUGGAUAAUAUUUCAUGUUGUUUCAACAAUGUGUAUGGCAUGUAUGUUUCAACAAUACAAUUCUGUGUGGAAACCACCUGCUGCACAUCUCUUCAUAACCUCAGUUUUAAACAACUGCUUCUGUAUGGGCUUUGGGAAGCAAAUGCUCAGGAAAUGGAUUAUUCAAGCUCUAUCCAUCCAUUUUCUUAGAGUAUUGAUCUGCCUGAGAUUAUUAAUAAGGGUUCCAUGCUAUCAGG
Molecule: long non-coding RNA, 794 nt
Organism: Myiozetetes cayanensis
Lineage: Eukaryota; Metazoa; Chordata; Aves; Passeriformes; Tyrannidae
Exons: 5
Source: RefSeq, a predicted model, not a curated record